This 451-nucleotide ribosomal RNA is filed under the name uncultured Fibrobacter sp. Its description in RNAcentral is "partial 16S ribosomal RNA". It matches the Rfam family "Bacterial small subunit ribosomal RNA", at positions 341 to 792 of the family's 1533-position model. Lineage: Bacteria; Pseudomonadati; Fibrobacterota; Fibrobacteria; Fibrobacterales; Fibrobacteraceae. The record is from RNAcentral.
ACGGAAGGCAGCAGUGGGGAAUAUUGCACAAUGGGGGAAACCCUGAUGCAGCAACGCCACGUGUGGGAAGACGCAUUUCGGUGUGUAAACCACUGUCGUGAGGGAAUAAGGCUGAGUUUCGGCUCAGUUGAAUGUACCUCGAAAGGAAGCACCGGCAAACUUCGUGCCAGCAGCCGCGGUAAUACGAGGGGUGCAAGCGUUGUUCGGAAUCACUGGGCGUAAAGGGAGCGCAGGCGGAAGUGCAAGCGGUCUGUACAAUACCGGGGCCCAACCCCGGACCUGCAGACCGGACUGCAGUUCUUGGAUAAUUCAGGGGCAAGCGGAAUUCCUGGUGUAGCGGUGGAAUGCGUAGAGAUCAGGAAGAACACCGAUGGCGAAGGCAGCUUGCUGGGGACUUAUCGACGCUCAUGCUCGAAAGUGCGGGUAGCAAACAGGAUUAGAUACCCUGGUA